RNAcentral lists this ribosomal RNA (497 nucleotides) under uncultured bacterium. Its description in RNAcentral is "partial 16S ribosomal RNA". It matches the Rfam family "Bacterial small subunit ribosomal RNA", at positions 28 to 507 of the family's 1533-position model. The record is from RNAcentral.
GACGAACGCUGGCGGCGUGCCUAAUACAUGCAAGUAGAACGCUGAAGAGAGGAGCUUGCUCUUCUUGGAUGAGUUGCGAACGGGUGAGUAACGCGUAGGUAACCUGCCUUGUAGCGGGGGAUAACUAUUGGAAACGAUAGCUAAUACCGCAUAACAAUGGAUGACACAUGUCAUUUAUUUGAAAGGGGCAAUUGCUCCACUACAAGAUGGACCUGCGUUGUAUUAGCUAGUAGGUGAGGUAAUGGCUCACCUAGGCGACGAUACAUAGCCGACCUGAGAGGGUGAUCGGCCACACUGGGACUGAGACACGGCCCAGACGCCUACGGGAGGCAGCAGUAGGGAAUCUUCGGCAAUGGGGGCAACCCUGACCGAGCAACGCCGCGUGAGUGAAGAAGGUUGUCGGAUCGUAAAGCUCUGUUGUAAGUCAAGAACGGGUGUGAGAGUGGAAAGUUCACACUGUGACGGUAGCUUACCAGAAAGGGACGGCUAACUACGUG